RNAcentral lists this ribosomal RNA (496 nucleotides) under uncultured bacterium. RNAcentral's name for it is "partial 16S ribosomal RNA". It matches the Rfam family "Bacterial small subunit ribosomal RNA", at positions 29 to 507 of the family's 1533-position model. The record is from RNAcentral.
AUGAACGCUGGCGGCGUGCCUAAUACAUGCAAGUCGAGCGAACGGACGAGAAGCUUGCUUUUCUGAUGUUAGCGGCGGACGGGUGAGUAACACGUGGAUAACCUACCUAUAAGACUGGGAUAACUUCGGGAAACCGGAGCUAAUACCGGAUAAUAUUUUGAACCGCAUGGUUCCAAAGUGAAAGACGGUCUUGCUGUCACUUAUAGAUGGAUCCGCGCUGCAUUAGCUAGUUGGUAAGGUAACGGCUUACCAAGGCAACGAUGCAUAGCCGACCUGAGAGGGUGAUCGGCCACACUGGAACUGAGACACGGUCCAGACUCCUACGGGAGGCAGCAGUAGGGAAUCUUCCGCAAAGGGCGAAAGCCUGACGGAGCAACGCCGCGUGAGUGAUGAAGGUCUUCGGAUCGUAAAACUCUGUUAUUAGGGAAGAACAUAUGUGUAAGUAACUGUGCACAUCUUGACGGUACCUAAUCAGAAAGCCACGGCUAACUACGUG